RNAcentral lists this unclassified non-coding RNA (377 nucleotides) under uncultured Gammaproteobacteria bacterium. RNAcentral's name for it is "contains 16S-23S intergenic spacer region". The record is from RNAcentral. Lineage: Bacteria; Pseudomonadati; Pseudomonadota; Gammaproteobacteria.
UCCGGCUUGUCGCCGGCGGUCCCUCUAGAGUGCCCAACUGAAUGAUGGCAACUAAAGGCGAGGGUUGCGCUCGUUGCGGGACUUAACCCAACAUCUCACGACACGAGCUGACGACAGCCAUGCAGCACCUGUGUUCCGGUUCUCUUUCGAGCACCCCCGCCUCUCGGCAGGCUUCCGGACAUGUCAAGGGUAGGUAAGGUUGUUCGCGUUGCAUCGAAUUAAUCCACAUCAUCCACCGCUUGUGCGGGUCCCCGUCAAUUCCUUUGAGUUUUAACCUUGCGGCCGUACUCCCCAGGCGGUCAACUUCACGCGUUAGCUACGGUACUGAGAAAUCGCUUCCCCAACACCCAGUUGACAUCGUUUAGGGCGUGGACUAC